Molecule: unclassified non-coding RNA, 247 nt
Filed under: Hevea brasiliensis (rubber tree)
Lineage: Eukaryota; Viridiplantae; Streptophyta; Magnoliopsida; Malpighiales; Euphorbiaceae
Source: RNAcentral
CAAGAUUAAGGAGCUGAAUGCUGGUUUUCACUUUGGGCUUCUUGCUCUUCUAGGAAGUCUUACAGUUUUCUGAUUUGGUGAUUUUGAUUUUGAGAAUUUUCUUGUAAUUUUGAUGGAAUUUCUUGUAAUUUUGAUGGAAUUUUGGUAGUGAUUUGAGAUAAUUGAUUAGUUUGUAGAAAGCGAAUUAAUUAUUCGCUUUCUACAAACUAAUCAAUUAUCUCAAAUCACUACCAAAAUUCCAUCAAAA